Molecule: long non-coding RNA, 1315 nt
Organism: Anas platyrhynchos (mallard)
Lineage: Eukaryota; Metazoa; Chordata; Aves; Anseriformes; Anatidae
Source: RefSeq, a predicted model, not a curated record
AUUUCACAGCAAUGACAUUUGCCUGGGCACGAUGGGAGCCCCUAGAAGCAGUACAGCUAUUUUUACAUCUUUCUUACGCAGUGAUUCCUGUUUUAUCUUAGAAGGCACUAGAAGAAAAAGGGCACAGAAGCUUUGUAUAGCAAUGUCCAAAGAUCCAGUCCAGUUACAAUGAAAUGAUCUGCCAUGGGAUCCAGCAGUGCAGUCUCUUCUCCUCUUCAUUUCUAAAUCUCAACAGCAUUUUCUUCAGCACUAAGGCAUUAAAUCAACAGUCUCCACCAAAAUGAUGAAUUACUUCGUUGACUUGCUCAGAUUCCCGCUUUAAGCCUCCCCACAAACCUCUCCAAGCAAGCCAUCAGACAGCAUCAGUGGCACAGGAAAGGUGACAGAGGAAAUUUAAAAAACAAGAAGAAAAAGAAAAAAGCCUGCUAUUCCUUUGCUGCUUCAAAGCAUAUUUUUCAACAAAGUAAAGGCAGGUUUUUGCCUAAACUUAUUAGUAAUUCUGUACCGGAUAUGCUUCAAGAUCCUUUAUCUAAGACUGCAGAACAUUUUGCUUUAAAACCCUGGUUGGAAAUGUUAAUGAAUCCCUGCAAGCAGGUUGAAACUCACAUCAGAAGUCCCAUGAUCCUGUGGAUAUUGGAAGAUCAGGAAAAGUAUUUCAGAAGCCUAUAACCUUUUAAACUCCAACACAUGCUUCUGAACUCUCGGGUCCAGCUGAGUCUGCAUUAAUUUCAGUUUAAGUUGCAAGGACGGAAUCGUUAGCAGCAUCACCCACAAUGCAGCUACACACACAGGGCUCCCCAUCCUCCACAACCCUUCAUGGUUUGAACGCAGCUGCAAAACGAAGCAGAUAGCUGCAGCUGCCUUCAACUUUAAUACAGAGGACCAGCCAAUCGAGCCUGCAGGUGCCAGCAGACAGUAAUUCAUUUAGAUCUGAACAAGGGUAUAUUUGAUCAAGUAAGUAGCUUGGCCAGUUGGGAAGUGCACUGUAUCUGGGCUGCAGCUCUCUCCCUAGGCAGAGGAUAUCACGGAGUGAAAGAAAAUAUACUUUGCACGUCGGAAGCCCUGGGAAUGAUCCUUGGCCCAACCACAGGAAGGGAGAUGGAGCAAGGCUGGUGUGGCUGUCAGUAUCUACUGACCACACAUCACCUUCUGCAGCCAUUUAUCCAGCUGGAGCCAAAUGCAUGCCCAAGGUCAUGCAGACUGCCCCAGGGUCUGCAAACAGAGACCCAGUUCCAAGGCUACAUUUAAAAAAUAAUAAUAAUACUAAUCAAGCAAUGAGCAAUAACACCAUUUAUGGAAUAUCCUUACAUGAUGA